AGAGUUUGAUCAUGGCUCAGGAUGAACGCUGGCGGCGUGCUUAACACAUGCAAGUCGAACGAAGCACUUUAUUUGAUUUCCUUCGGGACUGAUUAUUUUGUGACUGAGUGGCGGACGGGUGAGUAACGCGUGGGUAACCUGCCUUGUACAGGGGGAUAACAGUUGGAAACGGCUGCUAAUACCGCAUAAGCGCACAGCAUCGCAUGAUGCAGUGUGAAAAACUCUGGUGGUAUAAGAUGGACCCGCGUUGGAUUAGCUAGUUGGUGAGGUAACGGCCCACCAAGGCGACGAUCCAUAGCCGACCUGAGAGGGUGACCGGCCACAUUGGGACUGAGACACGGCCCAAACUCCUACGGGAGGCAGCAGUGGGGAAUAUUGCACAAUGGGCGAAAGCCUGAUGCAGCGACGCCGCG
Molecule: ribosomal RNA, 413 nt
Filed under: uncultured bacterium
Lineage: Bacteria
Description: bacterial SSU rRNA
Rfam family: Bacterial small subunit ribosomal RNA
Source: RNAcentral